CCUACGGGCGGCAGCAGUGGGGAAUAUUGGACAAUGGGGGCAACCCUGAUCCAGCCAUGCCGCGUGUGUGAAGAAGGCCCUCGGGGUGUAAAGCACUUUCAGUGAGGAAGAACGCCUGGUGGUUAAUACCCAUCAGGAAAGACAUCACUCACAGAAGAAGCACCGGCUAACUCCGUGCCAGCAGCCGCGGUAAUACGGAGGGUGCGAGCGUUAAUCGGAAUUACUGGGCGUAAAGCGCGCGUAGGUGGCUUGAUAAGCCGGUUGUGAAAGCCCCGGGCUCAACCUGGGAACGGCAUCCGGAACUGUCAAGCUAGAGUGCAGGAGAGGAAGGUAGAAUUCCCGGUGUAGCGGUGAAAUGCGUAGAGAUCGGGAGGAAUACCAGUGGCGAAGGCGGCCUUCUGGACUGACACUGACACUGAGGUGCGAAAGCGUGGGUAGCAAACAGGAUUAGAUACCCGAGUAGUC
Molecule: ribosomal RNA, 465 nt
Filed under: Vreelandella stevensii
Lineage: Bacteria; Pseudomonadati; Pseudomonadota; Gammaproteobacteria; Oceanospirillales; Halomonadaceae
Description: partial 16S ribosomal RNA
Rfam family: Bacterial small subunit ribosomal RNA
Source: RNAcentral